GCCUGCACUCUGGGACAAGCCCUGGAAACGGGGUCUAAUACCGGAUACUGAUCCGCUUGGCAUCCAAGGUUCGAAAGCUCCGCGGGCAGGAUGAGCCCGCGCCUAUCAGCUUGUUGGUGAGGUAAUGGCUCACCAAGGCGACGACGGGUAGCCGGCCUGAGAAUCGACCGGCCACACUGGGACUGAGACACGGCCCAGACUCCUACGGGAGGCAGCAGUGGGGAAUAUUGCACAAUGGGCGAAAGUGAUGCAGCGACCCGCGUGAGGGAUGACGGCCUUCGGGUUGUAAACCUCUUUCAGCAGGGAAGAAGCGAAAGUGACGGUACCUGCAGAAGAAGCGCCGGCUAACUACGUGCCAGCAGCCGCGGUAAUACGUAGGGCGCGAGGUUGUCCGGAAUUAUUGGGCGUAAAGAGCUCGUAGGCGGCUUGUCACGUCGGUUGUGAAAGCCCGGGCUUAACCCCGUCUGCAGUCGAUACGGGCAGGCUAGAGUUCGGUAGGGGAGAUCGGAAUUCCUGGUGUAGCGGUGAAAUGCGCAGAUAUCAGGAGGAACACCGGUGGCGAAGGGGAUCUCUGGGCCGAUACUGACGC
This 589-nucleotide ribosomal RNA is filed under the name Streptomyces sp. I12A-01967. Its description in RNAcentral is "bacterial SSU rRNA". It matches the Rfam family "Bacterial small subunit ribosomal RNA", at positions 129 to 746 of the family's 1533-position model. Lineage: Bacteria; Bacillati; Actinomycetota; Actinomycetes; Kitasatosporales; Streptomycetaceae. The record is from RNAcentral.